UUACGGUCAAAUCACGUUGAAAACACCGGUUCUCGUUCGAUCACCGAAGUUAAGCAUCGUAGAGAGCCAGGUCAGUACUUAGAUGGGGACCGCUUGGGAACACCUGGUACUGUAAG
This 116-nucleotide ribosomal RNA is filed under the name Acanthosepion pharaonis. Lineage: Eukaryota; Metazoa; Mollusca; Cephalopoda; Sepiida; Sepiidae. The record is from RNAcentral.